AAUUUAGUUCUCCCAUCAUACUUGUUAAGGGAAAAACAUAAGGCAUCCUGGAGCGAAAGGCGCCGACCAGGAAGCUCCCGACCAGGAAGCGCCGACCAGGAAGCGCCGAUCAGGAAGCGCCCGACCGGAGAGCGCCGACCAGAAGCGUCCGACCUGAUGACGCUCGGACUAGAAUGCGCCCAGCUUGGCAACUGGCUUGGCUCGGCACCCGCCCAGGUGCCGAAUUCUGAAAUACCUUGUCCAAAUAUUCGACCCUGGCCUAACUCCUUAAGGAAGUCUGACUCCAGAUACGCAACCUCACCGUAUCCUGCCACUGUCGUCAAACUAUUAUUGCGCAUGGCCUCUGCAGGCCUCCAGCACACUCAACCAUUAAAUGGGCAUGGUUCAUGAUGAUCUCCGGUUCACUCAACAAUUAAAGCGUAUGGCUUCUGUCGUCUACGGACAUUGAGCCUCUUACGGCAAACCUACUUGACAACUGAUGAUAGCAUGAUUCAACGAUGACUCGAGAGCUUCGACCUAAUCUCCAACAGUAACAACGUUGACUCACACGAUCGGGCAUUAAUUUCCACUCCAUACCAGAUUGUACGACAGGCCGUUUGCCCCGUUGCAUCACAGGUAACCCAGCUCCCUCUAUAAAAAGGGGACUCCUCCAUUUUAGGGGGGAAGUAAAAAAACCGACUUUCUACUAUUGUCUCUAUUCUCACACUUGCCCCCUC
RNAcentral lists this long non-coding RNA (716 nucleotides) under Phoenix dactylifera (date palm). Its description in RNAcentral is "long non-coding RNA (PDAC_LNC008288)". The record is from RNAcentral. Lineage: Eukaryota; Viridiplantae; Streptophyta; Magnoliopsida; Arecales; Arecaceae.